UGUCGCGUGGUGUAGCGGUCAACACGUCGGUCUCAUAAACCGAAGACCACAGGUUCGAUUCCUGUCGCGGCAC
RNAcentral lists this transfer RNA (73 nucleotides) under Armatimonadota bacterium. RNAcentral's name for it is "Armatimonadetes bacterium tRNA-Met". It matches the Rfam family "tRNA". From Rfam's summary of the family: Transfer RNA (tRNA) molecules are approximately 80 nucleotides in length. Their secondary structure includes four short double-helical elements and three loops (D, anti-codon, and T loops). The record is from RNAcentral. Lineage: Bacteria; Bacillati; Armatimonadota.